UACGUAGGUGGCAAGCGUUGUCCGGACUUACUGGGCGUAAAGAGCGCGCAGGCGGUCGUUCAAGUCGCGUGUGAAAGCCCCCGGCUCAACUGGGGAGGGUCACGCGAUACUGAUCGACUCGAAGGCAGGAGAGGGUAGUGGAAUUCCCGGUGUAGUGGUGAAAUGCGUAGAUAUCGGGAGGAACACCAGUGGCGAAGGCGACUACCUGGCCUGUUCUUGACGCUGAGGCGCGAAAGCUAGGGGAGCAAACGGG
RNAcentral lists this ribosomal RNA (253 nucleotides) under uncultured bacterium. Its description in RNAcentral is "partial 16S ribosomal RNA". It matches the Rfam family "Bacterial small subunit ribosomal RNA", at positions 524 to 776 of the family's 1533-position model. The record is from RNAcentral.